Molecule: long non-coding RNA, 716 nt
Organism: Toxorhynchites rutilus septentrionalis
Lineage: Eukaryota; Metazoa; Arthropoda; Insecta; Diptera; Culicidae
Exons: 3
Source: RefSeq, a predicted model, not a curated record
CAACUUGUCAUCCAAUGUUUUCAAAUCGCAGGAGUAAACAUUUACGUGACUGUGACUUCAUUUGUUUUUAUUUCGUUCGGAGAAAUAUUAUAUCAGGGAAAGUGGACAUUAAAAAUGCGUUGCUCAGUGAAAGGCUGCCCGAAUACGAGUGAAAAUGUUCGCAUUAGCUUUUAUCGUAUUCCUUCGGAAACGCAUUUACAGACGCGCUGGUCGAUUUUUGCGGAGACGACAAACUAGUUCCGAAUAAGGAUUCGCGUAUCUGUGGAGAUUAUUUUUAAAGCGUCUUAAUGCAGUGGACUGUAAAAACUGCUACUUAAUCCGCGUAUCUGUGGAGAUUAUUUUUAAAGCGUCUUAAUGCAGUGGACUGUAAAAACUGCUACUUAAUCCCGCUGCGCGAUACCAAAGCAGCCUUUAUGCGGAUUGCCCAGCGUAAGAAACCAAAUUCCCCCCGUGGGCGCGAUGCAGACUGCCUCCAUUGCAGUGAUGCGCGGGGAUUUUCCAUUCGCAUGGAACUUCACAUCACUGUGGCAGAUUAAGGGACUCGUUUCAUUGGAGACAAAACACAACACACGCAACAUAACUAUGUACAUUGUAUUUACUCAAUACUUUAGAAAUAUACAUGAAAUUAUACAGAGUUAUAAAUUAUAGACGCACUUAAAUUUCUUCUUAAAUUCUGCUUCAAAUUUGCUGCUGUUGCGUACACUCUGCUGUCUUUA